Molecule: small nucleolar RNA, 107 nt
Filed under: Brassica napus (rape)
Lineage: Eukaryota; Viridiplantae; Streptophyta; Magnoliopsida; Brassicales; Brassicaceae
Description: Plant small nucleolar RNA R71
Rfam family: Plant small nucleolar RNA R71
About the family: R71 is a member of the C/D box family of snoRNAs containing the C (UGAUGA) and D (CUGA) box motifs.
Source: Rfam by way of RNAcentral
AAUCCAUGAUGAGGGCAUUGAGUUUGGUAGCCUUUGAAUCUCUCCCAGGCUUCACUGAAUCCUUCCAAGCCUUUCUGUUGAAAGCUGGAGAUCUCAUUUCUCAGCUU